GAUGAACGCUGGCGGCGUGCCUAAUACAUGCAAGUCGAGCGGACAGACGAGGAGCUUGCUCCUCUGACGUUAGCGGCGGACGGGUGAGUAACACGUGGAUAACCUACCUAUAAGACUGGGAUAACUUCGGGAAACCGGAGCUAAUACCAGAGAAUAUAUUGAACCGCAGGGUUCAAUGGUGAAAUACGGUUUUGCUGUCUCUUAUAGAUGGAUCCCCGCCGAAUGAGCUAGUUGGUAAGGUCACGGCUUACCAAGGGAACGAUGCGUAGCCGACCGGAGAGGGUGAUCGGCCACACUGGAACUGAGACACGGUCCAGACUCCUACGGGAGGCAGCAGUAGGGAAUCUUCCGCAAUGGGCGAAAGCCUGACGGAGCAACGCCGCGUGAGUGAUGAAGGUCUUCGGAUCGUAAAACUCUGUUAUUAGGGAAGAACAAAUGUGUAAGUAACCAUGCACGUCUUGACGGUACCUAAUCAGAAAGCCACGGCUAACUACGUG
This 497-nucleotide ribosomal RNA is filed under the name uncultured bacterium. RNAcentral's name for it is "partial 16S ribosomal RNA". It matches the Rfam family "Bacterial small subunit ribosomal RNA", at positions 28 to 507 of the family's 1533-position model. The record is from RNAcentral.